Cavia porcellus (domestic guinea pig) is the source of this 115-nucleotide non-coding RNA. Lineage: Eukaryota; Metazoa; Chordata; Mammalia; Rodentia; Caviidae. The record is from Rfam.
UCAAUAACCAUACCACCCUGAUUGUGCUCGAUCUCAUCUGAUCUAGGAAGCUAAGCAGGGUCAGGCCUGGUUAAUACUUGAAUGGGAUACUAAUAGUCUUAGGGGUUUCAAUGGU